Long non-coding RNA from Nerophis ophidion (straightnose pipefish), 1175 nucleotides. RefSeq lists it as uncharacterized. The record is from RefSeq and is a predicted model, not a curated record. Lineage: Eukaryota; Metazoa; Chordata; Actinopteri; Syngnathiformes; Syngnathidae. The transcript is spliced from 3 exons.
AAAUGUGUAGGGAAGCCUGCUCUCUUUUGUUGUUGUUCUAUUAACGACCGGCAUUAAAAUAAUUAUUUUGAUUAAAGAUUUACAGUAUAACACUGAUUCCCAACCAGUGUGCCGCAACAUUUUAGUACGCCGUAUGAGAUCAAUAUGCGCCACUGAACUUCCGAUGACUAAAGCUUUGAAAUAUUUAUGAUCUUUGCUCAUAUUUCUACAGUAUGCGGAACAAUUCAGUGUUCUUCCACUAGAUGGCAUUUUCACACAAAAGUAAACAUUUUUGUACAAGUUGCAGUUAAGAGAAGUGAUGAUUUUGAAAAACAUGUAAAAAAAAAAAUACAAAUGGCCUAGCUUCAUACAGUUAGUUUUAAAUCUUGUUUAAAGACGUGUAGCGAAGCAUCUUUUUUUCCUGCAACAGGACCUCGGCACCUCACCUUUCACGUUGACGGCAUAGAUGAGGUUCUCGGGGACUUUGUGCCAGACGUCCACCAGGCCGGCGGUGUGGAUGACGACGUCGGCGCCGCAGCUGGCCGCCAGCACGCUUUGGUAGUCGGUGAUGUCGCCCUGGAUGACUGUCACCUUGGUGCGAUCUGCGGGGAGGAAGCGGCAAAAAGUCGAGCGGUGAUGAUUGAUGCGACAGAAACAUCACUUCCUUUCAUUCACAGUCAGUCCAGGGCCACGCCUGUCCUGUGCCUCAUCGAGGUGCCCACGGCGCCUGAGGGGCCGGGCCGUACGACGUGUUUGGCAACGCACAAUGAUGGCUAAACAAAGCGGAAUGAAAACAUCUUGUUCACUCAUGCAGCUGGCUUAAUGGACUAAGGUCGGCCCCCGUUGCCGGGCAACAAAACAUGACGUUGACACAGGUGGCAGGGGGUGACAGGCCACAAUUCCACGUCGUUCGCACCGGGAAAAGGAAAUGCAUGGGAGUGGGACAUCCUGGAGAGGAUCUGCGCAAAGUCACCACUCCACAUGGAAUAUGACCGUUUUUUUUUUGUUUUUUGUUUUUUUUUACAGUUCAUUCUUGCUUACACAGCUGGACAAGAGGUGCCAAGAAGAAUGCAUGUCAUCCAACUAUCUUCAGGUUGCUUGUCAAAAGGGUAAAAGGUCACUGAUUUAUAAAAAAAAAAAAAAAGCUCUAAGGGAGCGUCUGCAAAGUGCAACAUUAAAUUCAUGUCGCAAACUAU